Long non-coding RNA from Spinacia oleracea (spinach), 379 nucleotides. RefSeq lists it as uncharacterized. NCBI's taxonomy places the organism in Eukaryota, Viridiplantae, Streptophyta, Magnoliopsida, Caryophyllales, Amaranthaceae. The transcript is spliced from 3 exons. The record is from RefSeq and is a predicted model, not a curated record.
GAUUUCACUUAACAAAAGGCUGUUAAGAGUUUUGUAUCUUCGGGAUUCCGGUCAAUGCUGCUCCUGAGAUUACAGGUUGGCUGUCUAUUGGUGGAUUUCCGUCCUUUGUUGAAGAUAUGAAGGUCUAUACUCCGAGGACUGCGCCUUAUGCUAGUGAGGAAAUUGAUGUGGUUCGUGAGCAAUGGGCGAAGUUUUUUACCAGCAAGUAUUUAUUAUUGACCUGAGGGAGCUUGAUCGAGUUGGUUUAGAUGUUAUAGAACAAUCUUUUAUGUUAAAAUGUAUGCGUACGUUGAAAUUGGAACGUAAAUAUAUUUAAAUGUAUCGGUAUGUGCACUUUUGGUUUUGGGAUAUAUACAAAACUCGAGUUGUUGUUUUUAUA